This 469-nucleotide ribosomal RNA is filed under the name uncultured bacterium. Its description in RNAcentral is "partial 16S ribosomal RNA". It matches the Rfam family "Bacterial small subunit ribosomal RNA", at positions 28 to 507 of the family's 1533-position model. The record is from RNAcentral.
AACGAACGUUGGCGGCGUGGAUUAGGCAUGCAAGUCGAACGCGAAUCCCUGGGCAACUGGGGAGGAGAGUGGCGAAAGGGGCAGUAAGGCGUGGGUAACCUACCCUCCGGGCCGGGAUAGCUUCGGGAAACUGAAGGUAAUACCGGGCGACGCAGCGAGAUCGCAUGGUCUUGCUGCCAAAGGUCCGCCGCCGGGGGAGGGGCUCACGUGGUAUUAGCUAGACGGCGGGGUAACGGCCCACCGUGGCAAAGAUGCCUAGCAGGUGUGAGAGCACGACCUGCGCCACUGGCACUGAGAGACUGGCCAGACACCUACGGGUGGCUGCAGUCGAGGAUCUUCGGCAAUGGGCGCAAGCCUGACCGAGCGACGCCGCGUGUGCGAUGAAGGCCUUCGGGUUGUAAAGCACUGUCGAGGGGGAGGAAGCCGCAAGGUUGACCUAGCCCUGGAGGAAGCACGGGCUAAGUUCGUG